UGGGGAAUAUUGCACAAUGGGCGCAAGCCUGAUGCAGCCAUGCCGCGUGUGUGAAGAAGGCCUUCGGGUUGUAAAGCACUUUCAGCGGGGAGGAAGGCGUUAAGGUUAAUAACCUUGGCGAUUGACGUUACCCGCAGAAGAAGCACCGGCUAACUCCGUGCCAGCAGCCGCGGUAAUACGGAGGGUGCAAGCGUUAAUCGGAAUUACUGGGCGUAAAGCGCACGCAGGCGGUCUGUCAAGUCGGAUGUGAAAUCCCCGGGCUCAACCUGGGAACUGCAUUCGAAACUGGCAGGCUAGAGUCUUGUAGAGGGGGGUAGAAUUCCAGGUGUAGCGGUGAAAUGCAUAGAGAUCUGGAGGAAUACCGGUGGCGAAGGCGGCCCCCUGGACGAAGACUGACGCUCAGGUGCGAAAGCGUGGGGAGCAAACAGG
This 429-nucleotide ribosomal RNA is filed under the name Chloroflexota bacterium. RNAcentral's name for it is "Chloroflexi bacterium partial 16S ribosomal RNA". It matches the Rfam family "Bacterial small subunit ribosomal RNA", at positions 355 to 776 of the family's 1533-position model. The record is from RNAcentral. Lineage: Bacteria; Bacillati; Chloroflexota.